UGCAGUCGAACGGUGAAGCUCAGCUUGCUGGGUGGAUCAGUGGCGAACGGGUGAGUAACACGUGGGCGAUCUGCCCCUGACUCUGGGAUAAGCCCGGGAAACUGCGUCUAAUACUGGAUACUAAUCUUGCCUGCAUCGUCGAUUGUUGGAAAGAUUUUUUGGUUGGGGAUGAGCUCGCGGCCUAUCAGCUUGUUGGUGAGGUAAUGGCUCACCAAGGCGUACACGGGUAACCGGACUGAGAGGGUGACCGGCCACACUGGGACUGGAACACGGCCAACUCCUACGGGAGGCACAGUGGGGAAUUUGCACAAUGGGCGAAAGCCUGAUGCAGCAACGCCCCGUGAGGGGUGACGGCCUUCGGGUUGUUAACCCUCCUUUUAGCAUGGAAAAAACCGAAAGUUGACGGUACCUGCAAAAAAAGCGCCCGGCCAAACUACGUGGCCACCAGCCCCCGGUAAUACGGUAGGGCGCAAGCGUUUUCCCGGGAAUAAUGGGGCCUAAAAGAGCUCGUAAGGAGGUUUGUCCCGGCCUGCCGCG
RNAcentral lists this ribosomal RNA (537 nucleotides) under bacterium 168a. RNAcentral's name for it is "bacterial SSU rRNA". It matches the Rfam family "Bacterial small subunit ribosomal RNA", at positions 56 to 596 of the family's 1533-position model. The record is from RNAcentral.